UAAACUACGCCCUACUGACAGC
This 22-nucleotide microRNA is filed under the name Pristionchus pacificus. RNAcentral describes it as "ppc-miR-8270-3p". Lineage: Eukaryota; Metazoa; Nematoda; Chromadorea; Rhabditida; Neodiplogasteridae. The record is from miRBase by way of RNAcentral.